This 465-nucleotide ribosomal RNA is filed under the name uncultured bacterium. Its description in RNAcentral is "partial 16S ribosomal RNA". It matches the Rfam family "Bacterial small subunit ribosomal RNA", at positions 28 to 507 of the family's 1533-position model. The record is from RNAcentral.
GACGAACGCUGGCGGCGUGCUUAACACAUGCAAGUCGUACGGUAAGGCCCUUUCGGGGGUACACGAGUGGCGCACGGGUGAGUAACACGUGAGUAACCUGCCCACAACUUUGGGAUAACGCUAGGAAACUGGUGCUAAUACUGGAUAUGUGCUCCUGCUGCAUGGUGGGGGUUGGAAAGCUCCGGCGGUUGUGGAUGGACUCGCGGCCUAUCAGCUUGUUGGUGGGGUAGUGGCCUACCAAGGCGGCGACGGGUAGCCGGCCUGAGAGGGUGACCGGCCACAUUGGGACUGAGAUACGGCCCAGACGCCUACGGGAGGCAGCAGUGGGGAAUAUUGCACAAGGGGCGCAAGCCUGAUGCAGCAACGCCGCGUGCGGGAGGACGGCCUUCGGGUUGGAAACCGCUUUCAGCAGGGACGAAGCUUUUUGUGACGGUACCUGCAGAAGAAGCACCGGCUAACUACGUG